UACGAACAACAUGUAAUCAACUACAAAAAAUUACACCCAGUACAAAGACGUGGUUUUUAGUGUGAAGUUUCUUCGAAACUUCACAGUAUUGUGAUGGUGGGGAAAAUUCAAACGAAACAGUCAGUCAGUCAUACAGUAAACUUUCCGGGGGGCGUGUACGAUGUAUGUUCGUAGUGAUUUAUUGUGCUUAGUGACCUUAGUCAGUACUUUGAAGGUUAUUUAGGCAAUUUCAGUUAACUUAUUUACAUAUUCUGUUAUCCUUUUGCCAAGUUCACAAAAAUUUCGAGCAAUCGCUUUCGUUAUUGUAAUUCUUUGUAAAUUUUAGAACAUUCGCUUCUCAUGUUGUGUAAAGGAUCUUUACCCCGGAACACCCGAUUUUUCUUUAGCAGCGCAAAUGCGCAUGCGCUAUCAAGCCGUAGAUCACGAUGGCGUGACGAUAUGCUAGGAAGGAGUGACAGUGUUGUUUUCAGAUGUAUAAACAUUUCAGACGUAAAUAUUGAGCCGAAAAUCUUUGAGAUUCUAGGCAUUCAAUUGAGUGCUGAUAUUAUUUUCACGGUAUACUCGUUAUACAGGGGUACAGUAUGUACGAAGAAGCGAGACAGUGUUGUUUUUCAAAUAUAUAAACAUUUCAGACAUGAAUAUUGAGAACAUCUUUGAGAUUCUACGCAGUAAUAUGAUAUAUAAAUUGAUGAGUAUGGCUACCGGCGUUCAAUUAAGUGCCCAUCGAUAGACGAUAUUAUUUAGACCCUGUAUUCAUUAUACAUUGUUAUUUGACUGUAUAAGGUGCCACAUCACAGAAUAGUACACUCAGGCAAAGAGCGAAAAAUUGCAUCAGAUCAAUAAAGCAUCAACAACUAUUAAACAGAAGCGGGCGUUCGUACAGGCGUUUUAUAUGAAGAAAAUAUUGCGAGACGAAGGAAAUCAGUUGAGUCAGAGCUCCUUAUUUUAAUAAGAAAGACAAGGAGGUAGCCAAUAUGUUAUCGCCAACGUGUUAUCGCCAAUCGCUUGGCUCACCAACAAGCUUUAUGCAAUGGAAGAAAAAAGCAAGGAGGUACAUGUAGCCAACGUGUACUGUCGCGGACCUUGUUUACUGUCUAGCACAACGCCAUUGUCAACGGUGCAAAUUCGUGUUCAGUACAACGUUAACUCUACCAGAUCUUACGAGAAUUAAUCUGUAGUAUUCUGUACACAGAACUGUAUCAAAGCUUGUCAAAACUGCUUUAAACACUGCUAUAACUGUGAAACUACUGAAAUCUAAAGUGACAUUCAAAACAUGCGAAAAGCUAAAAAUAGACACAACGUGACACUGGGAAAAGUCAAAGGUCAAUGCGGACUUGUUAUUGUAAAAUAUGUCACAAUUAGGUUAAAAUGCGGAAGCGGAUGGAGCGGACCACAGAACGGAAAUGCGAAAAAAAUACGGAACGG
Paramuricea clavata is the source of this 1425-nucleotide non-coding RNA. The record is from the annotation of a GenBank genome assembly. Lineage: Eukaryota; Metazoa; Cnidaria; Anthozoa; Malacalcyonacea; Plexauridae.